GUUGUUUGUGAGUUACCUUGCCAAAUGAAUGUACAAUUUUUUAGCUUUUUUACUUGAAUAACUUUCAAUGAAUCUGUACUUAAGGAUUAUUUUUCAAUGUUAUAUUUCAGUGCAGAAUUAUUACAUAUGAGUGAAGGCAUUCAGUCUGGUUCUGAACACAUCUUAAAAAUGCUAAGAAAACCAUGACCAAAAACGUGUGUUGAAAUAGUAACAAUCACGUGUUUUGCUAUUUCCUGUAUCUGAUUAAUAUUUGGUAUAUUAUCAACAACAGUGACAGAGCUGGAGGGAAAAAAUAUAGAUAAAAGUUGAGAAACAAUAGAUCAAAACAAUGUCAACUAACUGUAAGUAAGCCCUCACCUUUGGGACUUUUUCUUUAUUCUGCAGUCAUUCCACAGCAUGGAGUUCAAUAUGCUCACUGCUGUAUUGCAGAGGCAGCAAUCUGUUUAUAAUGAAUCAGACAGUUCAGCUGCCAUAUCCAGAAAUUUAUUUUGAAAUUCAUGGCUGGGAAUCAACUUUUAACAGACUCACUGUGCCAAGAGGGCUCCCGGCUAAGCCCUUGGUGAUGAACAUAAAAUCCAUUUUAAAAUCUUUUGUCACCAUUCAGCCCAACGUCACCAAGAAAACCCUACAGAAUGUACACCUGCUCAUUGCUUCCAGAUUUUGCUGCCAUCUCCCAGAGGUGAGGUUUACAUAGCCAGCUGUGAGUUUGAAUAUCUCCACUGUCAGAGUUCAUAGAGUCAUAGAGUAUAGCACAGCCCAAGUUGCAAGGAACCCAUACAGACCAUUGUGUCCAAUGCCUGGCUCCACAGAGUACCACCCCAAAAUCAGUCCAUAUGUCUGAGAACAUUGUCCAGAUGCUUCUUGAACUCUGGCAAGUUCAGUGCCAUGACUACCACCCUGGGAAGGCAAUACCAGUGCCUGACCACCCUCUGGUGAAGAAUCUUUUCCUGAUAUCCAACCUGACCUUCCCCUGGCACAGCUCCAUGCCAUUCCCUUGAGUCCUGCUGCUGCUACAGAAAGCAGAGCUCAGUGCUGCCCUUCCUCUCCCUGUGAGAAGCUGCAGCCACCAUGAUGCAUCCCCUCAGCCCUUUCUUCUCCAGGCUGAAUAAACCCAGGAACCUCACCUGCUUCUCA
RNAcentral lists this long non-coding RNA (1134 nucleotides) under Coturnix japonica (Japanese quail). RNAcentral's name for it is "lncRNA (ENSCJPG00005007387.1)". Lineage: Eukaryota; Metazoa; Chordata; Aves; Galliformes; Phasianidae. The record is from RNAcentral.